AGCUCGGUUGAGGGUUCUGGAGCCAGUGACCACAGACUUAGAAAUAAACUGAGCUGGGCACACACGAUGGAUACCCAGGGUUCCACAGCGGCUAUGUCUCCUUCAGCUCCACCCCAAAACUGCUCUGGGAUUACAAAUUCUAGAUCCAUCUCUUCUUACAACACCUGCCAUCAUGGAGGCCCUGAAGCCAACAGCUGCCAGCCGACUGGCCAGGGCCGAGGUUGCCAAUCCACUCUCUGCAUUUGCUGCAUCCCCAGCAAUCUGAUGAGCAGCUUUAGCAGCCGCCCCUGUCUGGAUAACUGUGCCUGGCACUGGGAAGGAAUCAACAGUCAUGAGAAAGAGACCAUGCAGCUCUUGAACGACCGCCUUGCUAACUAUCUGGAAACGGUACGAAAGCUGGAAGGAGAGAAUGCAGCCCUGGAAUGCAGGAUCCGGGAAGUGCGCGAUCAAGAGGGUCCUGCCGUGUGUCCUGAGUACCUGUCCUACUUCGCCACCAUCGAAAAGCUGCAGCAGAAGAUCUUGUGCACCAAGGCUGAGAAUUCCAGGCUGGUCUCACAAAUUGACAACACCAAACUGACCGCAGAUGACUUAAGAGCCAAGUACGAAGCCGAGGUGUCCCUGCGGCAGCUUGUGGAUGCAGACACCAAUGCCCUGCAGCAGAUCCUGGAUGCGCUGGCGCUGGGCAAGGCUGACCUGGAGGUGCGAGUCCAGUCCCUGAAGGAGGAGCUGCUCUGCUUGAAAACCAACCACGAGGAGGAAGUCAGUUCGCUGCAGAGUCAGCUUGGGGACAGACUCACUAUCGAAGUGACUGCUGCCCCUUCUGUGGACCUAACCCAAGUUCUCCAGAAAAUGAGGUGUCAGUACGAGUCCAUCAUGGAGACAAACCGUAAGGACGUGGAACAGUGGUUCAGCGCACAGAUGGAGGAGCUGAGCCAGCAGGUGGUAGCCCGAGCUCACCAGCAACAGUGCUGUCAGGCAGAGCUCACGGAGCUGAGACGCACCUUGACCGCCCUGGAGGUUGAACGGCAGGCCCAGCACCGAAUGAGAGAUUCCCAAGAACGCAUCCUAGAGGAGACGGAGGCCCGCUACACCACCCUGCUCUCCCAGAUCCAGGGUCUGAUCCACAGCGUGGAGGGUCAGCUGGCCGAGAUCCGAGGCGCCCUGGAAAGGCAGAACCAAGAAUACGAGAGCCUGCUGGACACCAAGUCCCGGCUGGAGUGUGAGAUCACCACCUACCGCAGCCUGCUGGAGAGCUGGGACUGCACGCUGCCUUGUUAUCCCUGUGCCACCAAAUCUGAGCCUUCAGUUGGUGGGAGCUGCAAUGUCAAAGUCAGGGAAUGCCCUGCCCCGGUGUACACGUCCUCGGUCCCCACUGUGACAUGCAAGACCUGUGGACCCCUGUCCCCGAUCCUGGUUAAAAUAUGCACCAUCACCAAGGAGAUCAAGGAUGGGAAGGUCAUUUCGUCUUACGAACACGUGCAACCUUGCUACAUCACCCGAUCCGCCCAAGUCUGAUGCCCAAGGUGAUGGACAUGACCCGCAUUCAUGAAAGAGAGGCCAGUGCAUGCUCCUGCCAGAAAGGUUUAAGCCCCAGGCCCACCAGGGAAUGGGAAUUUGAUCUGAGUUUUGAUAAGUGUAGCUGGGAUUCUCAAGACAAAGCCCCGUUGGUUGACAGUGAAAAACACCUUAGCUUCCUGCUUUGCAUCCGUCAGAGGGACCUGGACCUAACAGCCACAAACUCUGCAGAACAGCAGUGCAGGCGCACAGCAGCCCCGCGGGAGAGGACCCGUUUCUGUACCAGCCUGCUUCCCACCGUAGCACCGCAGAGCAUAAAACUCACACCCCACAGAGACCAUUCAUUGGUCGUUUCUGAGUGUUUUAGUGAAUAAUUCCAAACUCGACACAGAAUGUGGAAUCCAAAGACCUGAAGCCUUAAAUUUGUCCCUUCCCAGCAGUGACCUCGCACCAAACUUUUCAUCAUACUCAAAUUCAUUUGCCAAUCUGCUGAAAGAGGAUCGUGCCUGCAUCGCAGGGCGGCUGUAAGCAGGGCGGCUGUAAGAGUCCAUGAGGAACCGAGGAACUGUUUCUGUCCCCUGCCCUGUAUGCUGCAAAGCACCACAGGAACUCGAGCUCUCUAUAAACUUUGCUUUUAGCUGCAGCCUGAGAUCUGGUUUGGUCAGGAUUGUCUCAUCUUAAAAAUGCUUUCUCUGUAAAUUUUUGGGAAUUUUAAUAGUGUUUAGCUUGGUGGGGAACAUAUCUCAGUCCUACUCAACAAAGCAGCUCUGAAUUCUUGGGCUGUGUGUCACGUACCAGCCAAUGCCACAUCAAAGACACUCACAUUAUUUAUCUUGCAGCUGGGUAAGGGAGGUGCUUUUCCUGAGGACAAGUAGUGCCUGACCCCAAGCUAGUAGAGUGCUAGACCCCAGGGUAAUCGAUCUCUUUACUGCCAGACUUCUCUCGUUGCACAGAAUACUUCGGUCAGCAGUGACUGCAUACCACCUCAGGCCACAGGGUGGGAAGAGCAUAGAACUUGUUCUGGGAACCCUUGGGAGGGAGUCACAAAGCAACUGUGUGUGUGCCUUGAAGUAAAAGGGACUUAAUAAUGUAGGUCCUGCCUCACCUGGGGCGGAAAAGUUAAAUGGGCUUAUAAUGGACUCGGGGUCUUAGAAAAUCUAAAGCAUUGCGCAGAAAAAAUUCUCUAAUUUCUUUUUUCGGUACUGGGGAUUGAACCUAUGGACUUUGCACUGAGUACAUCCCCAGCCCUUUCUUGUCUUUUAUGUUUAUUUUGAGAUAGGGUCUUGCUGAUCUGAGCUUGAACUUGAGAUCCUCCUGUCUCAGCCUCCCACAGGGUACUAGCAACACAGGUUCAUGUCCUCAUUACACCUGGUCUAAUUCUUUAAAUUAAAAGCCAGACAUAGGUCAGAUCCACGCAUACUUUUUUUCCUUUCUGUAGGAUUCAGUUUUGUACUGGGAGGAUCCCAAUGUAUACCAUUCCCAUUAACCAGAAAACCAAUUAACAAGAGGGCAGAGCCCCUCGACUUGCUCUGAGCUUCUGAUUCCAGCUAGGUUUAGAGCUGAGGGACAGCAGAGAUCACAGACCGAUCUCAGGCUGACCCUUAACGCCACUCCCCACUUAUCCUAGAGAAAAGACAUCUUCCUCCCCAUCAGUGCACGGGAUCCCCAGGUCUUCUACGGUACAAAUGGGUCACUAUGUACCCCACAGUGAAGAGAGAAUUUUUUGAAAGCUUCAGAGUAUUUUUCCCCCUGAGAUGAUCUUCUUUGUAAGCCAGAAUGUAAACCCACCUGAAGGGCCUGGUUCACAUGUGGUCCAGCCUCGUACAGGCAGCAGGAAGCCCUGGUUUUACUGGGAAGCUGAGUGUCCUUUCCGGCCACCGGAGGGAGUGAAAGCUUUCUUGGGGUGCAGGUCAUCAGCUCAGUGGCUGGGCUGGCGGCAGGAGCAGAGAGGACUUCACACAAGUCUGAUUUCGGCACAGCUCCAAAGGCAGCCCGGAAUCAGGACACACAGAGUGGUCUCGGAGGCCAAGACUACAUCAUGUCUCUCUACGUCUCACUGCAAAGGUCAUCGUCACAUUUCUAACACGGGGGACAGCUGACAGACACUUUUCCUAGAUUGUGUCUUUCCGCAUUCUGACUCUCCCUGAUGUAUCGUAGGGGGCUUAAACUUUCCCCAGUAGGGGGGUGGCCACGCUUUCCUCUGGCCCUCAGCUGCCCCUGCCCAGGGACCCCCUCUGCCCUCUGCACGUGACACACAGCCUCUCCCUUCUUGCUGCUGAUUCCAGCAGUCACUGCCUGGACUUCUCCCCAAGGGCUCAGUGAGGGGAACCCCGCUAGACUGUCCCUCAGGCCACCCAGCAACCACUGGCAACCACACACCCUGUGGAGCUCAUAGUAUGAACCCAGACCUCCUGCCAUAGCACGUCAGGGGCCAGAAUCCAGAUUUUUAACCAAACUUCCAGCUGCAGUCUAUGCACUGAAUUCAAAGUCACAGUCAUAAAUCACUAGUGACUUUCUGGCUUAACGAUUCAGAUAACUCAAUCUCUUUUGCUUCUUAAAUUAAUGCAAAUCAAUGCAUAUUAACAGUUUGUAUCAAUGGGAUUCCUUGUGAUAUUUAUAUGCAUGCCUACUGUAUGCUCUGAUCAAAUCCAUCCACCCUUCUUUAUGUACUUCUGUUCAAGAUUCUGAUUCUAUCUUCGUGAGUACCACUGCACACAGUUCCUCCUCUGCAUGUCUAUCCCUGUCCAUACAGUGGGAUCAAUCAAUAACAAUCAAUAAUUUAAUGU
RNA transcript from Cavia porcellus (domestic guinea pig), 4301 nucleotides. It is a transcript of the gene named keratin 39, with no coding region annotated. The record is from RefSeq and is a predicted model, not a curated record. NCBI's taxonomy places the organism in Eukaryota, Metazoa, Chordata, Mammalia, Rodentia, Caviidae. The transcript has 8 exons.